Molecule: ribosomal RNA, 483 nt
Filed under: uncultured bacterium
Lineage: Bacteria
Description: partial 16S ribosomal RNA
Rfam family: Bacterial small subunit ribosomal RNA
Source: RNAcentral
AUUGAACGCUGGCGGCAGGCCUAACACAUGCAAGUCGAGCGGAUGAAGGGAGCUUGCUCCUGGAUUCAGCGGCGGACGGGUGAGUAAUGCCUAGGAAUCUGCCUGGUAGUGGGGGAUAACGUCCGGAAACGGGCGCUAAUACCGCAUACGUCCUGAGGGGGAAAGUGGGGGAUCUUCGGACCUCACGCUAUCAGAUGAGCCUAGGUCGGAGUAGCUAGUUGGUGGGGUAAAGGCCUACCAAGGCGACGAUCCGUAACUGGUCUGAGAGGAUGAUCAGUCACACUGGAACUGAGACACGGUCCAGACUCCUACGGGACGCAGCAGUGGGGAAGAUUGGACAAUGGGCGAAAGCCUGAUCCAGCCAUGCCGCGUGUGUGAAGAAGGUCUUCGGAUUGUAAAGCACUUUAAGUUGGGAGGAAGGGCAGUAAGUUAAUACCUUGCUGUUUUGACGUUACCAACAGAAUAGGCACCGGCUAACUUCGU